UUCUGCAGAGACAUCUGAAUGACAGCGGGAGUGAAGGACAAAUCUAAUAAAGCCUAAUAAAACAUGAGCGUCGAAAUGUCAUUAAACUUACAAAGAUGAGACUCAAAAUCACCAAAAAGGACUGUGCCAGCUUUGCAAAGUAAAAGAGAAAUCCGUUAUCUGAAGUUGGGGCUCCUAGCAGCCGGCAACAACUGGUCCUCAAAGCUUCCCAUUCCUCCCCAGUUGGAACACCCAACACCUCAAGUGGA
This is a long non-coding RNA of Hipposideros armiger (great roundleaf bat), 248 nucleotides long. RefSeq lists it as uncharacterized. The transcript is spliced from 3 exons. NCBI's taxonomy places the organism in Eukaryota, Metazoa, Chordata, Mammalia, Chiroptera, Hipposideridae. The record is from RefSeq and is a predicted model, not a curated record.